RNAcentral lists this ribosomal RNA (629 nucleotides) under Rhodococcus sp. SSRW5-3. RNAcentral's name for it is "bacterial SSU rRNA". It matches the Rfam family "Bacterial small subunit ribosomal RNA", at positions 173 to 831 of the family's 1533-position model. Lineage: Bacteria; Bacillati; Actinomycetota; Actinomycetes; Mycobacteriales; Nocardiaceae. The record is from RNAcentral.
ACCUCCUUAUUCCCCUGUGGGUUGGUGGAAAGAUUUUUCGAUCAGGUUCCCGCGGUCCUAUCACUUGUUGGUUGGGUAAUGGCCUCCCAAGGCGACGACGGGUAGCCGACCUGAGAGGGUGACCGGCCACACUGGAUUGAGACACGGCCCAAUCCUCGGAGCAGCAGUGGGGAAUAUUGCACAAUGGGCGAAACCUGAUGCAGCGACUCCGCGUGAGGGAUGACGCCUUCGGGUUGUAAACCUCUUUCAGCAGGGACGAAGCGCAAGUGACGGUACCUGCAGAAGAAGCACCGGCUAACUACGUGCCAGCAGCCGCGGUAAUACGUAGGGUGCAAGCGUUGUCCGGAAUUACUGGGCGUAAAGAGUUCGUAGGCGGUUUGUCGCGUCGUUUGUGAAAACCAGCAGCUCAACUGCUGGCUUGCAGGCGAUACGGGCAGACUUGAGUACUGCAGGGGAGACUGGAAUUCCUGGUGUAGCGGUGAAAUGCGCAGAUAUCAGGAGGAACACCGGUGGCGAAGGCGGGUCUCUGGGCAGUAACUGACGCUGAGGAACGAAAGCGUGGGUAGCGAACAGGAUUAGCUACCCUGGUAGUCCACGCCGUAAACGGUGGGCCUAUUGUGUGGGUUCCG